CAACUCCAGAACUGGACGCUA
This 21-nucleotide unclassified non-coding RNA is filed under the name Mus musculus (house mouse). Its description in RNAcentral is "oocyte_clustered_small_RNA6825". Lineage: Eukaryota; Metazoa; Chordata; Mammalia; Rodentia; Muridae. The record is from RNAcentral.